RNAcentral lists this ribosomal RNA (465 nucleotides) under uncultured Leptolinea sp. RNAcentral describes it as "bacterial SSU rRNA". It matches the Rfam family "Bacterial small subunit ribosomal RNA", at positions 901 to 1382 of the family's 1533-position model. The record is from RNAcentral. Lineage: Bacteria; Bacillati; Chloroflexota; Anaerolineae; Anaerolineales; Anaerolineaceae.
UUAAAGGAAUGACGGGCCCGCACAAGCAGCGGAGCGUGUGGUUUAAUUCGAUGCUACACGAAGAACCUUACCAGGGUUUGACAUGCUAGUGGUAGGAACCGAAAGGUGACCGACCCUUCGGGGAGCUAGCACAGGUGCUGCAUGGCUGUCGUCAGCUCGUGUCGUGAGAUGUUCGGUUAAGUCCGCUAACGAGCGCAACCCUCGCUGUGUGUUAUAUGUGUCACAUGGGACUGCCGGCCUUAAGCCGGAGGAAGGUGGGGAUGAUGUCAAGUCCUCAUGGCCUUUAUGUCUAGGGCUACACACGUACUACAAUGGCCGGUACAAAGGGCAGCCACUCAGCGAUGAGGCGCUAAUCCCAUAAAGCCGGUCUCAGUCCGGAUCGCAGUCUGCAACUCGACUGCGUGAAGUUGGAAUCGCUAGUAAUCGUAGAUCAGCAUGCUACGGUCGAAUACGUUCCCGGGCCUU